AACGAACGCUGGCGGCAUGCCUAACACAUGCAAGUCGAACGAGACCUUCGGGUCUAGUGGCGCACGGGUGCGUAACGCGUGGGAACCUGCCCUUAGGUUCGGAAUACCUCCCCGAAAGGGGUGCUAAUACCGGAUAAUGUCUUCGGACCAAAGAUUUAUCGCCUAUGGAUGGGCCCGCGUUGGAUUAGCUAGUUGGUAGGGUAAAAGCCUACCAAGGCGACGAUCCAUAGCUGGUCUGAGAGGAUGAUCAGCCACACUGGGACUGAGACACGGCCCAAACUCCUGCGGGAGGCAGCAGGGGGGAAUAUUGGACAAUGGGCGAAAGCCUGAUCCAGCAAUGCCGCGUGAGUGAUGAAGGCCUUAGGGUUGUAAAGCUCUUUUACCCGGGAUGAUAAUGACAGUACCGGGAGAAUAAGCUCCGGCUAACUCCGU
Molecule: ribosomal RNA, 432 nt
Filed under: uncultured bacterium
Lineage: Bacteria
Description: partial 16S ribosomal RNA
Rfam family: Bacterial small subunit ribosomal RNA
Source: RNAcentral